GGAUGUCCCGCAAUGGCACUGCAUGAAUUCACGGUUGAGAUCCGGGCCGUGCAUCCAUCGGUUCCAUACCGGGUUCGUCGCCA
Ancylostoma duodenale is the source of this 83-nucleotide non-coding RNA. Lineage: Eukaryota; Metazoa; Nematoda; Chromadorea; Rhabditida; Ancylostomatidae. The record is from Rfam.